This 29-nucleotide small RNA is filed under the name Bombyx mori (domestic silkworm). RNAcentral describes it as "piRNA piR-bmo-1354871". The record is from RNAcentral. Lineage: Eukaryota; Metazoa; Arthropoda; Insecta; Lepidoptera; Bombycidae.
UGCACAGGAACCGCACGCCACUGACCCGA